RNAcentral lists this long non-coding RNA (2537 nucleotides) under Sus scrofa (pig). RNAcentral describes it as "lncRNA (ENSSSCG00030055014.1)". Lineage: Eukaryota; Metazoa; Chordata; Mammalia; Artiodactyla; Suidae. The record is from RNAcentral.
ACAUGGAAACUUUAAAUAUGUUUUAAAAACUGCACAUGUAAUAAGAAUGAUUAUGAACCUAAGGAAAUUUAAACUUUUUAUUUCCACAAAAGUAUUUGAAGUUUUCAUUUCAAACUAAACAGGAUACUGUUUGUUUAUAUAUUUGAAAAAAAAAAAAAAAAAGAUUGAAUAGAUCGCAAGCAGCUCAGAUAGGGCAGAUAAAAAAAUCUCGCAGGGCUGACAUUGGGAAGACUAAGCCAGGUGCUUAGGAAACUGAAGGUAGGCGUACCGUACAGGGUGUGUAACCGUAAGGGUUGGCAAUGGCUCUGGGUAGACCAGAGCAAAGUCUUCCCUGAAGCUGUGUGGACGUCCUGGGAUUGGAAUGCUGGCCUUGUCGGCAUUACUUCUGUGUGUAGUGAGUUGAGUAUGUGAGAAGCAUGUUCAUAGAUGUUGACAGACCUGUUUUACUUGUUUCUCAGUCUUUUCAGAUCAUUGCUUAUAAAACACUGAUAUUUACAGUAAAUACCUUGUUUAAAUAUAGGCUCACCUGCCAAACCGUGUGUCCUUGUGCUGCACUCGUUUAAUGACUUUGCCCUUGACAUGUCAUCUGGGUGACUUUCAGUGACAGAAUGUUUGAAGAAGAUAAAGGGAAAAGCAGGAAGAGAAUAGCAUUUCCAGGAAAAAGCAGUCAUACAAGGGACAGGCUGGGGAGAGAAUAAAAGACGAUUUCUGUUGUGUGACCUUUGGCUGAUUCCUGAAGCAGACUGAUUUCAUUUGCCUUGUUUGUAAAUGAGAACAUUAUACUGUGGUAAGUUCCUUUACCUCUGACUUCAUCCAGUGAUCUGUUUUAUUGUGUGUUUGUCUUUUUUUUUUUUUUUUUUUUUUUUGUCUUUUUUCCUUUUUUUUUUUGUCUUUUUGCCAUUUCUUGGGCCGCUCCCGUGACAUAUGGAGUUUCCCAGGCUAGGGGUCUAAUCGGAGCUGUAACUGCCAGCCUAUGCCAGAGCCACAGCAACUCGGGAUCCUACACCACAGCUCACGGCAACGCCGGAUCGUUAACCCACUGAGCAAGGGCAGGGAUCGAACCCGCAGCCUCAUGGUUCCUAGUCGGAUUCGUUAACCACUGCGCCACGACGGGAACUCCUCUUUUUGUCUUUUUAUGGCCGCACCCUUGGCAUAUAGAGGUUCCCAGGCUAGAGGUCAAAUCGCAGCUGUGGCUGCUGGCCUACACCACAGCUACAUCAAUGCAGGAUCCGAGCCAGAUCCGAGCCACAUCUGUCACCCACACCACAGCUCACGGCAACGCCGGAUCCUUAACCCACUGAGCGAGGCCAGGGAUCGAACCCACAUCGUCAUGGUUCCUAGUCAGAUUCAUUUAACCACUGCGCCACGAUGGGAACUCCCUGCAAUAUUUAGCAUUUUGAUUUCUAUGUUAAACCACCUGGAUUCAUCUGUAAAAUGGAGUUAGCUAUUUCCUAACUUGUAAUGAUAAUUUAAUUAGAUAAUCCAGAUAAUCAUUUAGCACGCUGCCUGACACAAACUAAGCCCUUGGGAACUAAUCCACUCUUCAAAACUCAAGUUCCGAUGUCUUAGUAUUACCUGGAUCUUGGAUCUCCUCGGUCCUCUCUUUGUGCCUUAAGUGUGUCUUCUAACUUUCUAGUUAGGCACUGCCACUAGUCCUGAAAUUGUCACCAGUCCUGAAAUUGUCAGCAGUUUAUCUGCAUGUAUAGUUCUCCUCUUGGAUUAUGAGCCCUUUGAGGACAGAAACAGGUUUAUUUGUCUUCAUAAAUUCGAUGUCUGACUUUAUAAAUUUUGCUGAAAGAAUAAAAUUGUAUUCUUGUUUUUAAAUAGGGUCCCCUCCCUCUCUCAGUGGACGAUAAUGCUGGAGCAAAGGUGACCAGUAGAAGUGUUCUCGGAAAUUCUCGUCAUGUUCUCAAACCACUUUUUUUUUUUUUUUUAAACAGCUACUUAAUUGCCACUGUACUCCCAAGGAUUAGAUAGUUUUUUUACUUUGCUUCUUCACAUGGUUUUCCUUAUUAAAAAAGUUACAGUAAGAAAGUAACUGGCAGGUGGAGAACUAUCCACUAAACAUGAAUAAAAGUCAGAGUUGCAUGCAGGCAGCAUAAUGACAGUAUAAAGAGGUUGAUCUUGGAGUCAAGGUGCUGGGUUCCUGCCACAGCAUCUGCCAUUUUCUAGCUGCAGGACUUUUUUCUCUCUCGCUCUACAGUGUGGUCCUAUUUCAUGGUGCUUGGUAUAACAGUAAGAAAAGUAGACUGGAGGCUGUGAAGGGGACUAGAGUUAGUCCUCUGGUGGUGCUCCGGAUAGACCAGAGCACAAGUCUUUUCUAGAGUUCUUAGAAUGAUCAAUAGGAGAUAAUAUUCGUGUAGUCCCAACACUGUGCCUGCUUGAUAGAAGAUACUCAGUUAUUUCUCAGCACAGAAAUGCAGGUCUAGGGAGUUCCCGUGUGGCAUAGCCAGUUAAGGAUCUGGCAUUGUCAUUGCGGUGGUGCAGGUUCAGGCUCAAUCCUUGGGCCUGGGAACUUCUGCAUGCCACAGAUGGAG